CACUUUUCAGAAAAUUUAAACUUCCGUCUUCUUAUCAAGGCUUAAGUAAGCUGUUUACACCUGAUUCGAUCUGACAUCUGUUACCACACUAAAACACAUAAGUUCAGUGAAUUUAUUCGACGCAGACAUAACGGACGGCAAUGAACAGAGGCGUAAAGAUUAUCCAGCUAUGGAGGUAUCCGCCGGAGCGAAAGGCCAUUCGCACCGACAAUCGGGUCGGAGACGUGAAUAUAGGCCAAGCAGACAAGUUGAUAUGGGCUACAGAUGCAGUCAUUUCGUGUGCGUCAAAAUUGGAGACCAGUCGCUGAAAAGGGAGUUGGAGAGAAUGCAAGAUUUGAUUGUAGACCGGUACCCUGACUACGACACCUUCAGGAUCCCGAGUAGGAGCUUCCAUAUAACCGUUGUUGACAUAAUGUCACUGCGGGGCGAGAGCGACAUGAAGCGUUAGGUAUGGUUGCUGGACUUCUAUCAGGAAUACAUUUCGUAUAUUAUGGGCCGUUGUGCAAAUCUGGAAAUACAAGGACUCGGCUCAUUUGGUGAUAAAAUCAUAUUUGCGAAGGUGAAUAUACCGUAUGUUUUUAAUACAAUGAGAGACGAUAUAAUUGGGCUUAUGGGCCUAUCGGAUGACAAAAUAAGUUGUGAGAAUAAACGAGCAUACGCGCCUCAUGUGACUCUAUUUAAAGUACCAGAAUCCGCCGCAUUGAAUCCCAGAGGGAGUCUGAACCUGAGGGACUUUUCAAAUUCCUACUUCGGUCACCAGCCUGUGGAUAAUUUGCAGUUGUGUCAAAUUGGCGAGCCACUACACGGAAUUUACAAAAAUAUAUGGGGUAUUGGAUGUAAAUAUACAUUCGUUUAUUUGGCAUUUGUUAAAAGUGAUAAUAAAGUAUCACGCUUAAAUUUCUGCUUGAACAUUAUCUACAUGAUUUUACUUAUUUUGAAAGCAUUUAUGCAAGAAAUUUUAUUCGUUUGUUUGCAUGUAUGGCAAGCGGUUUGACGUAUAAUCCCAAGAAACUAGGUUUCUCAUGAGAACCUAGGUUCUCAGAAUGAGAACCUAAGUUCUCAGAACCUAGGUUCUCAUGAGAAACCUAGUUUCUUGGGAUUAUGCGUCGAACCGCUGGCCAUAAUUAACCUCCAGUUUUCUCCCAUUGCUUGGUACACGCUGGCGGCAUAUGUGUAAAAUGAAUAGAAUAGGCGUGAAACCGUGAAUGCUUCUCUCCAAGAGCAUUUCCUGAACAAUGUUCAGACAAUGCUCAGUAAUAUUCUACGAAACUUAUCUGUUGAAUAUUUGUGACAACAGGCAUUAGCCGUCGGUGACCGCCUCUUGUUCAUUUUCCGUGCAUGGGUGGUCUUGAGGAAUGAAAUUAGUAAAGUAAUCGGUCGACAUUGGGUUGAACACGUUAAUAAAAAAUUGAACUUUUUAUGAAAUACAUCUUUAAUUGUAAAUAUUACUUUGAGACUAAAAAUUCAGAUCAAUCGUUACAUAAAACAUUGUUACAUCAUUAAAUGAGUUUCAAAUAUUCAGUUCCCUUGUUCGGGCCUCAAACGACUGUACGGUACAGUUUUCUAUUUUAAGUAUGUAUGUGACCUACAUGUAGGAAGCAAUCAUUAUGCUAUAAAAUACAAGUUUUAUCUCUAUUGAUUAUGUGUAAUAAUGUAUUAUUCAAUCGUAAGAUAACGGCAACACUGCAAGAAAAACUUAUGCGCUAAAGACUUUGCAAACAUAUUUCAAUAACUUGAGAUAUCUGCAAAAAUAAAGUUCUUAACGGCGUGUUUUCAUUCUGUCCAGCCCGUGUGUAAUCAUAUGUGAACCCCAUUGAUCCUGCGCCCUGAGCAAUAUGUGUCCCGUAUUCCAAACGAGCAAGUUUACGCCGUCCGACGCGUAGUUCUGAAAACCUAGGUUCUCUGAAAACCUAGGUUCUCAAAGAACCUAGGUUCUCAGAGAACCUAGGUUCUAUGAGAACCUAGGUUUUCAAAGAACCUAGGUUCUCAUGAGAACCUAGGUUCUAUGAGAACCUUGGUUCUCAUAAUGAGAACCUAGGUUCUCAGAGAACCUAUGGUUCCCAAAUGAAAACCACGGAUAUGGCCAGCAGUUCGACGCAUAAUCCCAAGAAACUAGGUUUUUCAUGAGAACCUAGGUUCUCAUUCUGAGAACCUAGGUUCUCAUGAAAACCUAGCUUUUCAAACGAGAACCUAGGUUCUCAUGAGAACCUAGGUUUUCAAAUGAGAACCUAGGUUCUCAUGGAAACCUAGGUUCUCAUUUGAAAACUUGGGUUCUUGACGCCAUGUGCAAUCUUCAAGCGAGAACCUAGGUUCUCAUUCUGAGAACUUAGGUUUUCAUUCUGAGAACCUAGGUUCUCAUGAGAAACCUAGUUUCUUGGGAUUAUGCGUCGAACCGCUUGCCAUACAUAUGCAUGCGUCUAGACAACUGUUAGAUCCGUACAGAACUUUCUACACGAGUCGAUCUAACCUUUUUCCUAAUCAAAAGUGAAGGCUUCCAUGACACUAGGGGUCAGUGGUUCGAGCCCUGUGGAGGUUAACGUUUUUUCUUCUUUUUUAAAAUUGUAUUCUUAUUUUUUACUGGAGAUUUUUAGUUCAAAUGUUUAAAUUUAUCAAUAUAAAGCAUUUAAAGCAGUUAAUGACAAGCUUUAAUACAUGCCAAAAUCUGUUUGACGGCCCCUUUAAGCUAACUUUAAAACAGUCGCGUUUGGUUUUUAAAGCAAUUGGUAUCAGCUAUAUUUUAUUAAAAGGACUUGGCAAUAUAACACCAUCGAUAGUGCUUAUCAUUGUUAUUUACUGAAUGUCGUGUUUUGUUGUUGCAUUUCAUAACGAGUCGUAAAUUGACUAUAGCGACGUGGUAGUGUCUGCCUGAUUUGGAACCGGGAGGUCCCGGGUUCGAGCCCCAUGGUGGUCGGGGAUAUUUUGUUUUAUUUCAGAAACGCUGGUGAUAAACACGUUGUCAUCAUAUUAUAUUUGAUGUACUUAUUCUGACGCAAAAUUUUGUUUCGGAAUGUUAAAUAAUAGAUGCAUGUACAUUUAGAUGCAUUAUUGUUUUUAUUUUAAUGUGUUUUAUCUUUCAGUGAUGAACUGAGAAAAGCUGGAUAAUUAUUAUGUCCUUAUGUUUUUAUUUUUAUUUUACUGCAUUAAAAAAUGAAUGCAGAUAAUGUAUUGAUUAUUUUCAGUACAUGAUAUAUAUCUUUUUGGCUGUAAAUUAUAUAUUGUGGAAUGUAUAAGUGAUUUUGAUAUGGAUAGUUGGAAGUAGUGGUAUGAAGUAUUUCAUGUAUAUGUGUAUUAUUAUGUGUGUAGUUACAUACACAUGUAGUUAAAAAAGUCGAGACGCCUUUUAGGAGGAGGGGGAGAAUGUUACCAGGUGAACUUUUAGUGUAGUGUAACCUGAAUUGUACCGAAAGUAUGUACAGUUAUAAGAAUAGCUCUUUUCGGCGGAAGUUGGUUAGCUUGCUGAUAGGAAUGUAGUCUUUUCGAUUUUAGAAUCUCAUCGGGAAAUAUCUUUGUCAUCUAUUGGCAUAUCAUUUAUCUAUACUUUAAAUAAGGAACAUGGAUAUAUAAGGUAUGCUGUCAGAUUGUUAGUUGUGUUGCUAAUGUUGGAAACUCGGGUGAAUUUGCUAUUUGACUUUAUGCCGGUGCCAUUUUUAAAUCUUAGAAUAUUAAUGUAAAACAGGCUUUCACAAAACUAACGAUUAUAUACACUUUUCGCAUGCUAACAACAUGACAUUGUUACAGCAGUCACUGUUCAUAACAAGAGAGAAAAAAGUUCGAAGGCGUCGGUGCGAAAGAGUCUAAAGUACCACAUACUCUGACGAGGAAAGACAGGACUAUGAAUCUAACUUGGCAUGUUAUGAUGUGAAAUAUUAAUGAAUACUGGUUUCCCAAUCAUUAAAUAAUAGAAAAGUGAACUCAUGAUUUGAUUUUCAAUUAUGUUGAUAAAUAAGUAAAACCCCAAGAGUUACAUGACGAGUGUGAUGUUAGUGAUCGCUUAUAUACGCCUUACAACCAGAUGUACUGCGCCGUCAGCACAGGCAUCAAAGAUACAUGCAAAUUUGUAAUGCUUUAUUUUCAGACAUACAAAAAUUGUGUUGAAAGCUGUAUUGACUGUAAUUUGUUUUAUGUAAACUUAUGUAAUCUUACCAUUGUUAUCAAUACACUUCAUACAAAUUGUGCCCGAAUGUUUAGUAUUGUUAAACAGGCAGUGCGCUUUUACCUUUGUGAUUAAAAUUAAUUGUUAUAAAUGCAUCAAAACUAAUAAAACACUCAUCCGCUCCAAAACGUUUGGUGUCGUCGCAAAUAUUUGGAACCGAUCGGGUUCGUGGAAACCAACAACUUUUUAUGUUACGCUUAUGAACAUGCGUAUAAAUCUUUAUCUAAAUACCUUUGAUCAAUAUAUUUACAGUACCGACGUCCGUGGGAUUUUAUAUAUUGUUGACAAUACAAGUGUUUACGAUUUAUGUUCUUUGCCACUUGAAAUAUCGGGCUAGAUCUUGAAGUUUACAAGGGACACAUAAACUAUCUCCUUGGUCGACAUCAUGUACACGCACGUGGCAUACUGCUCUAGUCUACGGUGGCUCAGAUUUGGAAUCGUGUUAUUUUAAUUACUUCGUUACCACAACUAAAUAUCUCGUUUUCUACUUAAAAAGUCGUAUGAACGAUAUUGUAUAUAUGCCUACUAUUUGUAAACACUGAUGCCAAAGUUUGUAUUAAUUGGGCUGUUGGCCUACUUGAUAUUUAUUUAUUAUAAAUCAUGCUUCAUAUGUUCCCUGUUCAUAUUAAUCUUUUUGUGGAGACAAAUAGCAACAGAUCGCAAAUUUUGAUGUUGAUGAAAACAGUUUGUGCUAUAAAACAUUGGAGAGAUUAUGCUUUAAAUUAGAAAUACCCCUCCACAUACGUCACUACUUUGCUGCCUGAUUGUAACAAAUUUUCCGGCAUUAUGAUGAUAAUAACGUCAUCGAAAAGGUGCCAGAUUCCUGUACUAGAAUUUCCGUGCAUCAUUACUUUAAUCAUAAUGAAGAUAGCACUGAUACUACAACACAUUUAUUAGAUUAUUCUGAAUCGUAAGUCUGGAUUUAUUUGUUAAUAUAUGCCACAGACACCUGUAGAAUGAUACUAAACAACGCGAAGAAUGUGUUAGUUCUUAAGCGCCGAGUUGUCAGUGGCAAUAGAAAUAAUAAAUAAAUGAUCAUCUGUAAUAGCCAAUAUGCACACAUGCUUUACAUACUCAUAUGGUCCAAGUUGUUACCAGCUUUAUUUCAUUUGAAGAAAUGUCGCAAUUGAAUCGUUUAAUUAUUACGAUAUCGGGUUAAUAGGGAUUUGGAAUUUAUGAAUUGUGUCAUUGUUAUCAAAUGUAAUUUUUUCAUGUAUUAAAUGUAUUCAAAAUUUCAUCUCAAUAUUAAAUUUCAUGUAAUUGCCAACAUUACGCUUGUAUGUAUAUAUUUCUUAUAGAUUGUUACACAAUGCAUGGUCUCGCUAAAAUUGUUUUGUACCACCUAACUAGUGUCAUCAUAGUGCGAUUUGCCUCGAUAACUACAUAGACAGGUGAAAAUUAAUAUUAUCAGACGAAAGUAUGCAUUAGUGAGAACACACAGUGGAGAGGUAGAACAGAUUUAUUUAAUCUAUAAUAAAAUAUAAGAACGAAACCAUAGUAUACGUUUGCUUAAUGUAUCAAUGCCUCGCAGAGUAAGUAUUAUGUACGAUUUAUACUUGUACACGCCCCACUUGCUCGAGCUGUCAGAUAGAUCUGUUUCGAAUGGAGUUGCUCGCAGAUAUUCUAUGGCGUGAUAGGCAUGUUAAUGCUUGAUAUCUUGUAUAUUGUGUCAUGUUUGUACAAAAAUCAAGCGAAUUUAUUACAGUCAUUAGCAUAAAACAACCUGGCCUGUGAUAUUUUAAUGUGGCAAUAAAGUAAUGGCAGAGAGGUAUCAAUACUUAGAUUUUCGUUUGGAUGUUUGCUAUAAAAUUUGUUAAGUUUUA
This is a long non-coding RNA of Dreissena polymorpha, 5976 nucleotides long. RefSeq lists it as uncharacterized. The record is from RefSeq and is a predicted model, not a curated record. The transcript is spliced from 3 exons. NCBI's taxonomy places the organism in Eukaryota, Metazoa, Mollusca, Bivalvia, Myida, Dreissenidae.